This 207-nucleotide ribosomal RNA is filed under the name uncultured Lachnospiraceae bacterium. RNAcentral's name for it is "partial 16S ribosomal RNA". It matches the Rfam family "Bacterial small subunit ribosomal RNA", at positions 292 to 518 of the family's 1533-position model. The record is from RNAcentral. Lineage: Bacteria; Bacillati; Bacillota; Clostridia; Lachnospirales; Lachnospiraceae.
CUGAGAGGGUGAACGGCCACAUUGGGACUGAGACACGGCCCAGACUCCUACGGGAGGCAGCCGUGGGGAAUAUUGCACAAUGGGGGAAACCAUGAUGCAGCGACGCCGCGUGAAGGAAGAAGUAUUUCGGUAUGUAAAACUCUAUCAGCAAGAAGAUAAUGACGUACCUGACUAAGAAGCUCCGGCUAAAUACGUGCCAGCUGCCGC